Molecule: unclassified non-coding RNA, 209 nt
Filed under: soil metagenome
Description: partial contains 5.8S ribosomal RNA, internal transcribed spacer 2, and large subunit ribosomal RNA
Source: RNAcentral
AACCUAGCACACCUGCGGUGUGUACCUGCGGAAGGAUCAUUACCGAGUUUACAACUCCCAAACCCCUGUGAACAUACCUAUACGUUGCCUCGGCGGAUCAGCCCGCGCCCUGUAAAACGGGACGGCCCGCCCGAGGACCCUAAACUCUGUUUUUAGUGGAACUUCUGAGUAAAACAAACAAAUAAAUCAAAACUUUUAACAAUGGAUCU